Long non-coding RNA from Columba livia (rock pigeon), 4829 nucleotides. RefSeq lists it as uncharacterized. The record is from RefSeq and is a predicted model, not a curated record. Lineage: Eukaryota; Metazoa; Chordata; Aves; Columbiformes; Columbidae. The transcript is spliced from 3 exons.
AGAUGCAGGUACAUUCACCAAUUCAGUGCCAACAUUCUUGGACUUAAACUUGUGUGAUGGGAAAAUUCGAGUAAGCCAUAUAUUAUAGGAAGAGCAACAACUCCAGAUUGACAUUUGCUUUUAUUUUUAUUUCAGAAUAGGAAAAGGGUUAAAAAGAACAGAUUCAGCAUGUUCUUAGUAAAAAAGAAAAAGUGAUGUGUGUCAGCAUCAUGUGGUAGGAAACUUUUAGGCAAAAAAAAGUGGUAACUAUCUGCCCAUCUGGGAAGGAGAAGGAAAAGAAGUACUGUCAUAUCAGCAAUUGCCAGAAGUAUUUUUAAAAUGCCAUUAUGGCAACAUUUUUCUUCUGCAAGCUCAUCUGUUGAAAGAUUGGUUAAAUAAAAAAAAAAAAAAAAAAAAGGCAAGAAAAAAAAUUGUCAGCUAGUCUGAGUCUGAGAGAGAAAGUAGAAGCAGAAAAGUCUGACUUGCCUGUAACGAUCAGAAGGUCGGAAGUUCAGAUCUUGCUCUUGUGUGAUUAUUGUAAUUCAACCUUAUACAGAAAGAAUGGCAGCCUUUGAAGGGAAAAAUGAGUGAACUGAAAAUUCAUAACUCCCAACCAAAUUCUAAGCUAGAGAUUGAUAUAUCAACAAAUAUUUCACAACGACAAUGCUGUUAUUACUCUAAAAGCAGCAGACUGUGUUAGUGUCUGGCUCCUGAAUUUUUCCCGUGAACACCUUUUCUCUCCUGUUUUGUUCUCCCUUUGAACUGUGUCCUGGUUUUGUUAAAAACAAGUUUCUCUUUCAGUGAAUUUGCCUGUCAGCUAAAGCCUUCAUAUUAACUGCAUCUUCCUGGAGAACCAAACACAUGUUUUGGUAAACCUAGCAAUGGAAUGCAAACUUAUUGAUAAGCACGGAUGGACAUCUCGCGAGAGGGGCAACGAGAAGAAAGAGACCAAGAAACUGACCAACUGUGUAUAACAUUCCAUUCACGUGAAUACUUCAUAUAAAAGUGGGAGAUCACGAGUCUCUCGUGGGCUUUUCCCUUUUUGCCUUUUCCCUUCUGCUUAUGGCCGGCAUUAGAAGAGGACCUUGCUAGUCGUCCCUGCGAACUGAGGCCUAGUGAGAGACUGAAUCCAGCUCCGAUUGGCUGCAGAGUCUAAUCUAGGACUUUGGUUGCCGGCUCUGCAGUUGCUGAGACUUUCAAGAUUGGUUUUAGAUCUGUUCAAUGAAUGACUAACGAAAAGAAUGAAAUGAGAAAUACGACUCCGCUACUGUUUUGCCAGAGAAAUCCUAGUCCUUUGUUUAUCCACACUGUCCCAGGGCCAAAGGUGCACUUCAUGGCAAGUGCUAAGCUAUAUGAAUGUGAAUGAAUCCUCCCUUCCCUCUUCUCACAGUUAAAAAAUGAAAUUUAGCCUGCAAGGAUUUAGUAUCUCACCUUCAAAGAUGCCAGAAUACUCUCACGUGUUGAAUUUGAGCUCUGCAAGCCUGCCAAGUUCAGCCUUCUAAGUGCUAACAGACAAAAAUGUCAUACUCGUCAGAAUUCAGGCCUUUACUCCAGAAUGAAAUUUCAGAAUUUCUAUCAAGAAGCACUGAGCAAGUAAUAAAAAAUGCUAAAAUUCCAAGUUGUUUUUUGUUGUUGUUGUUUUUUGUUUUUUUGCAAGACAGGUAGAUGAAUAGAAGCAACGAGGAUCCAACUUGUUCUCCAGUGGUUUGCAACAGUGUAGCAAAACUUGCUUCCUGUUACCAUAGCUUUUCCUAAUUUAUGUUCUGCCAUGUAUCCUGGUAUUUCGUUUUUAUUGUGACUGGGUGGAAGUGUAAGCAUCUCACUGAGGGACUGUCUUGGACAUUACUUGUAGUGGGAGAAAACCCCUGCUCUUUCAUUUUUGUAAGAAAGAAGAAUCAAAAACGGCCCAAGCAAAACUACUGGAACAUGUGACAUCCUGUACAGGAGUGAAAUGUGUAAUACUGAACUUGCUGCUCUUUCCAGAAAAAUAUCUAGCUAGCAUCAGCACAGAAGAAAUUCACAACCAAAUUAAAAUGGCAGAGUGCCAGAUAGUGCUCCAGUGCUUAAGCCUGUUGUAAAUUUUUUAUUAGAGAUAUCUGUGCAUCCCAAAGGUCAAAGCCAUUUCCACUGACCUAGCUGUCAUGAGUAUAUGGCAGCUCUCAGGUUUGCGCAGGAGCGGAGGAAAGGCCAGUCACUGAGUAACUCUGUAGUAUAUGUUGCAGUUGCCAUUUCAGUCUUCUUAAACUUAUGUUAAAAGAUGCCUUACUUUAAUAAUUUUCUUAUUUAAACCACAGGGACUGAUCUGUGUGGUCAUGCAGGAAGAACUGAUAUGCCCCUCAGUGAGGGUCAGUUAUCAUCUCACCUUGCUGUCAUGAUAAAUUAUGCUGGUUUGUUUUGUGGCAGCCAUCAUAAUUUUCAAGAAGCAUCCGAACCUAAGUUCCCAUCUUGACAAGACUUCUCCAAGAAGCCUUGUUGGUUUGAAGGAUUCAGUAUCUACCAAUGAAAACCAUACCUUUGUAAAACAAGCAAAAGCAAUUUCUUACUGCAUUUGAAGUUUUUAACAGUAGUUUACUAGGUAACUGAAGAACCAUGUGUGUAUAUGACAUUGAAAGUUAACAAAGUGAACCAAGCCAAAGCUAACUUAAACUUGCAAAUGCAUAUAAGAAACCUACUCUAUCAUCUUGUCUUCAGCUCUUCAGUACAGACAGAUUUUGCUUUUUUCUUUUGAGCUUGAUGUUUCAAACUGCACAAUAAGUCAUUCAACUAAUCUUAACAUCUACAGAGUGUGGUAUAACUUUACACCCCUCAAAAAUCCCAGCAACUCAAGGGGUCAGAACCUUUAUCCCAAAAAUAAAAACAGUCCAGAACUUCAGCUUUCUGCUAUGGAGUCAGAAGUACUACAGUUUUAGAUUUAUAGGCAAUAUUUCAUUAAGGAAAAAAUGCUGGCAUCUGUCGUUGCUGUUGUUUGCUUGUUUUAUCUCUCUCUUAAAAAAUCAAAAGGUCUGUUGUGAAGCCUGUGAGAUCCCAUAAGUGGAAACUGGGCAUGACAAGAAGCAGAAAGUUCCUUAAAAGACUAUCCAAUAAGCCCUAAAGUAAAAUUGAGUUGUAUUCACUUUAAGAUUAUCUGCAGAGAUUCCACCACUGAAAAACAAGUUCUCAGGAAAUUGUAAAUACUAAAGCCAGGCAUUUGUAAUGAUUUUAAGAACACAUGUGUGCUGUCAUGAAGGAGCAUCAUUCCAUCUUCAUGAAGUCACAGACUUUAAAGGCCAGAAAUUACUUCCUGGAAAACACAAGCCAGAAAACUUCACCCAAUAUAUUUUCUUCAUGGUAUUUCCUUUCUUUAAAUGAAUUGCAAGUAGUAUUAACUUGAUAGGGUGAUUAAAAUAGUUUCCAUAGACAGUUUUAGGGAAUGACAUUCUUUGAAUGAAUACGUGCACAAUUGGUCAAACUCUUCUCUGGUGGAUUUACACUGAAUUGGAAUUACAGAUGCCACACAGCUGCCCCAGUGGCAUGUGCUGGGAAAAAGGACACCAAUACAGUAUGUUUUGUUUUUACAUACACCCAGUAAAUGCAGGGCUUAAUCUCCAGUAGCUUCAGCUCAUAUAGGUAGUCCACUGUCUUGUGCGCUAAUAUUAUCUUCCCCAUAACUGUGGUAUUAUCAGAUUUCCAUCAAGGGUUUGUGAAGCAAACAAGGCAACAAACACAGACAAAUGCACACCACAUAUUUGCAAGUCAGUGGUCAGCAUAUGAGAUUGCAGACUCCCGCGCAAUAUUACAUUGAGAACCGAGAGGUGAGGGAGACAGCAUACCAUCCAACAGGCUGAACCUGUAUGGCAAAUGAAAAGCAGUGCUGGAGGAUUUUAUCUUGAAACCUUAUCUUUUCUAUCUUAAAAAAGAUUCUCUGGGUCUAAUCUACCAAAGCCACUUUUAUUCCUCAAUUAUUCUCUGUCAGAUUUCUAGCUUUGUUUUGGUUUAAUAUCUUUUUAUUUAUUUAUUUAUUUAUUUAAGCUUAGACAGUUUGUAUUUUUCAAAUCAUAACAUCUCCAGUACAGUGGCACUCAGAAUACAUCCUCCCUUUGCUCUCUUACUACUUCGCUUUAAUUAGCAGUCUGUAAAUAGAAGGGUCCUUUCCUCAGCUGUCAACAAACUGAAUUGGUACAGUCUAACUUGCUGAUUUUCCAUGCUUUUCAACAAGAUACAGCCUGCGGUACAGCUGAGCAGUUGCCUGCAAAUGGCUACAGCUCUCCAUCUUAGACCAGAUGUAAAUCUCAGCUGGAAAGGAUCCAGGAAGAACAAGUAUCACUGUACAAUCACACAAAGGCUGCACACUCUAUGUGCUAUCCAAUGAACUAUCUGUGUGCCUCAUACCCCCAAAAUCCAACAUUUUGCUUCUACAUUUUGGCAGCAGAGACUUUGCUUCCUCAUCUCCUGAGCUGGCUUUACCACUGCCUUGCCAUAGUCUCGUGUGGCAGCCAGGGAGGCUGCUCCUUCAUGUCAGUGCCUUUGCACACACUCACAACAGAGAAGCCAUUUCCCCCCAGAGAUUUCUGUGCUCCCACCUGUAAAAGGCUUGUAAACCCUCCUCUGGUCCAAGAAGAAGAAGAAAACAGGGGCAAAAAAGACCCUAAUUAGCUAGAUAUUUUGGUUAGCUACUCCGUGAGCUGGGAUGAAAGGUUUAUUAUUUUUAUUGCUGCCUUUUUAUCUAGGGAAAGGGGAGUCAAGUGUAUUCUGAUAAGUGGUUGUGAUGUCUUCAAGGUGAAGGCACAAGAAAAAUAAUCAUGUGUCUCAGUUUCCAUGUUAUCUCAGAGAAAGGUCAAAUGUCAUUAUUUAUUUUGAGACAAAAAAUUGUG